RNAcentral lists this ribosomal RNA (443 nucleotides) under uncultured bacterium. RNAcentral's name for it is "partial 16S ribosomal RNA". It matches the Rfam family "Bacterial small subunit ribosomal RNA", at positions 338 to 795 of the family's 1533-position model. The record is from RNAcentral.
CCUACGGGAGGCAGCAGUGAGGAAUAUUGGGCAAUGGGCGCAAGCCUGACCCAGCAACGCCGCGUGAAGGAAGAAGGCUUUCGGGUUGUAAACUUCUUUUCUCAGGGACGAAGAAAGUGACGGUACCUGAGGAAUAAGCCACGGCUAACUACUGGCCAGCAGCCGCGGUAAUACGUAGGUGGCAAGCGUUCACCGGAUUUACUGGGUGUAAAGGGUGUGGAGGCGGGGAAGCAAGGCAGAUGUUAAAACCACGGGGUCCACCUGUGGCCUGCCUUUGAAACUGUUUUUCUUGAGUACGAGAGAGGCAGGCGGAAUUCCUGGUGUAGCGGUGAAAUGCGUAGAUAUUAGGAGGAACACCAGUGGCGAAGGCGGUCUGCUGGACAGCAACUGACGCUGAGGCGCGAAAGCGUGGGGAGCAAACAGGAUUAGAUACCCGGGUAGUC